GAAACCAACUGGGAUUGCCCUAGUAACGGCGAGUGAAGCGGCAACAGCUCAAAUUUGAAAUCUGGCUCUCCUGGAGGGUCCGAGUUGUAAUUUGCAGAGGGCGCUUUGGCUUUAGUGGCGGUCUAAGUUCUUUGGAACAGGACAUCGCAGAGGGUGAGAAUCCCGUAUGUGGUCGCCUUCUAUCGCCGUGUAAAGCCCCUUCGACGAGUCGAGUUGUUUGGGAAUGCAGCUCUAAAUGGGAGGUAAAUUUCUUCUAAAGCUAAAUACUGGCCAGAGACCGAUAGCGCACAAGUAGAGUGAUCGAAAGAUGAAAAGCACUUUGGAAAGAGAGUCAAAAAGCACGUGAAAUUGUUGAAAGGGAAGCGCUUGCAGCCAGACUUGCUUGUUGUUGCUCACCUUGGUUCUAUUACCUGGGGCAUUCGACUGCAAGCAGGCCAGCAUCAGUUUGGGCGGCCGGAUAAAGACCUCUGUCACGUAUCUUCCUUCGGGAUGACCUUAUAGGGGAGGUGUAACACGGCCAGUCCGGACUGAGGUCCGCGCAUCUGCUAGGAUGCUGACGUAAUGGCUUUAAACGAC
RNAcentral lists this ribosomal RNA (576 nucleotides) under uncultured Ascomycota. Its description in RNAcentral is "eukaryotic LSU rRNA". It matches the Rfam family "Eukaryotic large subunit ribosomal RNA", at positions 61 to 648 of the family's 3401-position model. Lineage: Eukaryota; Fungi; Ascomycota. The record is from RNAcentral.